This 512-nucleotide long non-coding RNA is filed under the name Homo sapiens (human). RNAcentral's name for it is "HSALNT0394822". Lineage: Eukaryota; Metazoa; Chordata; Mammalia; Primates; Hominidae. The record is from RNAcentral.
ACAUGCCUGUAUCCCAGGCAUGGCAUGCACCUGUAGUCCCAGUUCAAAUUCCUUCUUACUGAAGUACAUCCUUGAAUAGCUAUUUCAUUAAGGAUUUGGGAAUAUUAAAGCAUCUCAGUCUCUGACUGAAAGUAUCUUUAAUUCACUCUUGGUCUUGAAUAAUAAUUUUUCUAGGUAUAGAAUUUUACAUAGAUAUCUUCCCUCAGCAUUUGAGUAUAUUAUUUCAUUACCUUUUGAUUUGUGUAAUUGAUAAGGUGUAGUCUGCUUCAGGCUGUCAUUUAUUUAGAGGGUUCUCUCUCUCUCUCUCAUAUUGCUUUAAAAUUUUUUUUUGUUUUUAUCUUUGGUGAUCUGCGGUUUCACCACAAUCCUGCUUGGGAUUCAAGACUAAGAAUUCCUGACAUUCACCGAUUCUGAAAAAUUUUGUCCUAGUCUCUGAAUAUUUUCUCUCCUCAGUCCUCUAUUUAUCUAUCUGAGUCCUCUUUUAUAUGUAUAUUGGACCUUGUUAUUCUCUU